UACAGAGGUGCCAAGCGUUAGGCGGAAUCACUGGGCUUAAAGCGCGUGUAGGUGGACGGGUAAGUAUCUUGUGAAAUCCCACGGCUCAACCGUGGAACUGCUGGAUAUACUGGCGAUCUUGGGCCAACUAGGGGCAACUGGAACAAGCGGUGGAGCGGUGAAAUGCGUAGAUAUCGCUUGGAACGCCGAAGGUGAAAACAGGUUGCUGGGGUUGUGCCGACGCUGAGACACGAAAGCCAGGGGAGCAAACGGG
RNAcentral lists this ribosomal RNA (253 nucleotides) under uncultured bacterium. RNAcentral describes it as "partial 16S ribosomal RNA". It matches the Rfam family "Bacterial small subunit ribosomal RNA", at positions 524 to 776 of the family's 1533-position model. The record is from RNAcentral.